AGCUCCAAUAGCGUAUAUUAAAGUUGUUGCAGUUAAAAAGCUCGUAGUUGGAUUUGUGGUGUACUUCGGCGGCCCAUCACUAUGUGGUGGAGCUUGCUGAAGUCGCCAUCCUUGGGUGGAUCCUGUGUGGCAUUAAGUUGUCGUGCAGGGGAUGCCCAUCGUUUACUGUGAAAAAAUUAGAGUGUUCAAAGCAGGCUUAUGCCGUUGAAUAUGUUAGCAUGGAAUAAUAAGAUAGGACCUUGGUACUAUUUUGUUGGUUUGCGCACCAAGGUAAUGAUUAAUAGGGACAGUUGGGGGUAUUCGUAUUUCAUUGUCAGAGGUGAAAUUCUUGGAUUUUUGAAAGACGAACUACUGCGAAAGCAUUUACCAAGGAUGUUUUCAUUAAUCAAGAACGAAAGUA
RNAcentral lists this ribosomal RNA (400 nucleotides) under phytoplankton environmental sample. RNAcentral describes it as "partial small subunit ribosomal RNA". It matches the Rfam family "Eukaryotic small subunit ribosomal RNA", at positions 587 to 991 of the family's 1831-position model. The record is from RNAcentral.